CGUCUAUAUACGUAUAGCAUAUCAAUAAGCGGAGGAAAAGAAACUAACUAGGAUUCCCUAGUAACGGCGAGUGAAGCGGGAAGAGCUCAAAUUUGAAAUCUUCAAGGUUUCCCUUGACGAAUUGUAGUUUAAAGAAGUGUUUUCUGUUAGAGAGUUGGUAAAAGUUCUUUGGAAUAGGACAUCAUAGAGGGUGAGAAUCCCGUAUUUGAUCACUUUCUACUAGCUGUUGUGAUACACUUUCAAAGAGUCGGAUUGUUUGGGAAUGCAGUCCAAAAUGGGUGGUAAAUUUCAUCUAAAGCUAAAUAUUGGCGAGAGACCGAUAGCGAACAAGUACCGUGAGGGAAAGAUGAAAAGAACUUUGAAAAGAGAGUUAAACAGUACGUGAAAUUGUCAAAAGGGAAGCGUUUGACAUCAGUGUUGUUUUUCUCGAAAAUCAAUUAAAAUGACCGGAUUUGUAGUUGUCAUGACCUUAUAAGCUUUUCUGCACUUUUUUCUUGUCUUUCUUAAUGCACUUUUCGGUUAACAAGUCAACAUCAAUUUCUUUUGUUGUAAAAGGUUAAGAGGAAGGUGGCUUUACUUUCGGGUAAAGUGUUUAUAGCCUUUUAACUCUGCAAUCGGAGAGAUUGAGGUCUGCAGCGUAGAUCCUUCGGGGCUAGAUACGUUUGUGCUAAGUUAUAGCUUUUCAUAGACAACUUGUUGACUAUGUUUAGUCUUGUAGCUUACUCGCAUGCGCUAUUUUACCUACGCUUAGGAUGUUGAUAUGCAUGACUGAUAU
This 775-nucleotide ribosomal RNA is filed under the name uncultured Neocallimastigales. RNAcentral's name for it is "partial large subunit ribosomal RNA". It matches the Rfam family "Eukaryotic large subunit ribosomal RNA", at positions 26 to 640 of the family's 3401-position model. Lineage: Eukaryota; Fungi; Neocallimastigomycota; Neocallimastigomycetes; Neocallimastigales. The record is from RNAcentral.